GACGAACGCUGGCGGCGUGCUUAACACAUGCAAGUCGAACGGAAACGCCCUGCUUUUGUGGGGUGCUCGAGUGGCGAACGGGUGAGUAACCCGUGAGUAACCUGCCCUUGACUUUGGGAUAACUUCAGGAAACUGGGGCUCAUAUCCGAUAGGAGCUCCUGCUGCAUGGUGGGGGUUGGAAAGUUUCGGCGGUUGGGGCUGGACUCGCGGCUUAUCAGCUUGUUGGUGGGGUAGUGGAUUACCAAGGGUUUGACGGGUAGCCGGCAUGGGAGGGUGACCGGCCACCUGGGGACUACGGGAGGGCGCAGACGCCAACGGGGGGCAGCGGGGGGAAGUAUUGUACAAUGGGCGGGAGCCUGAUGCAGCAACGCCGCGGGCGGGAUGACGGCCUGCGGGUUGUAAACCGCUUUCGCCUGUGACGAAGGGUGAGUGACGGUAAUGGGUAAAGAAGCACCGGCUAACUACGUG
This 468-nucleotide ribosomal RNA is filed under the name uncultured bacterium. RNAcentral describes it as "partial 16S ribosomal RNA". It matches the Rfam family "Bacterial small subunit ribosomal RNA", at positions 28 to 507 of the family's 1533-position model. The record is from RNAcentral.